Molecule: unclassified non-coding RNA, 206 nt
Filed under: Hevea brasiliensis (rubber tree)
Lineage: Eukaryota; Viridiplantae; Streptophyta; Magnoliopsida; Malpighiales; Euphorbiaceae
Source: RNAcentral
ACAGAAUAUGGAUAUGUCAGGAAUGGCAUGCAUUUAAAAUCAAGCAAACACAAACAUUUUCUAUCACAUCUACUCAGACUCAUAAAAUACUCAACGAUAGAACAUAAUAGACAAUUCAGUUGGAAUAUGACUUCAAAAAAGAAUUUGUUUGGAAUGUGACUUCAGAAAAGAAUUUGUUUACAUUCUCCACAAGUUUAAACCACUUA